GACGAACGCUGGCGGCGUGCUUAACACAUGCAAGUCGAACGGAAAGGCCCUGCUUUUGUGGGGUGCUCGAGUGGCGAACGGGUGUGUAACACGUGAGUAACCUGCCCUUGACUUUGGGAUAACUUCAGGAAACUGGGGCGAAUACCGGGUAUGAGCUCCUGAUGCAUGGUGGGGGUUGGAAAGUUUCGGCGGUUGGGGAUGGACUCGCGGCUUAUCAGCUUGUUGGGGGGGUAGUGGCUUACCAAGGCUUUGACGGGUAGCCGGCCUGAGAGGGUGACCGGCCACAUUGGGCCUGCGAUACGCACCAGUCUGCUAUGGGCGGCAGUAGUCGGGAGUAUUGCACAAUGGGCGGGCGUCUGAUGCAGCAACGCUGCGUGCGGGAUGACGGCCUUCGGGUGGUAAACCGCUUUCGCCUGUGACGAAGCGUGAGUGACGGUAAUGGGUAAAGAAGCACCGGCUAACUACGUG
Molecule: ribosomal RNA, 468 nt
Filed under: uncultured bacterium
Lineage: Bacteria
Description: partial 16S ribosomal RNA
Rfam family: Bacterial small subunit ribosomal RNA
Source: RNAcentral